AAAAUAGUGAUUUUAUCAAAUUUGGGCUGGGCAGGAUCGAGUUCGGGCCUAACCAAUUUCGGGCUCAGAUUUUGGUUACUCUGCUGGGUUGGUAUGGGCCAUGGGUCAUAAGUAUAGGCCCGGCCCAAACCUGGCCAAGACAAACCAAGUUUGAGUCGAAAGUGGGCUUGGCCCGAAGCCCAAUAGAGCUUUGGACACCAAAAUAUAAACGGCCAAAGAGAGCAUCAGAGUGGUUGGGUUGGAGAAAGGUUGCAGGUUUCUCAUCUCCCAUUCCAAAGGGGCGACCGAGAAGAACACAGUUUCAUCGAAGCCUAAUAUGGGGAAAGGGAUGGGAGCUUUGGGAAGAGAAGGAAGAAGACACAUACUCUUUGCGUGCGGUGCGGGCUCCGUAGCUUUCAUCUUCAGAAGAGCCGAUGCGCUUCUUGCGCUUAUCCCGCUAGCCGUAUUCGCAAGUGUACAGAUUUGUGAGCUAUAAAUAGACGGUUAAGAAGUGAAUUACAACAACGGUUCACAUUCUGACUAAGGCAAGUUCCAAGCCUAAUAGUGGGGGAUCAUCUAAUCGAGGAGUUUUUAUUUUUAUUUUUUAUUUUUAAGGGGUGCAUGGUCCAUUGACUGUGGGCUGCAACACACCAAUGGUCUAUAGAUCGCUGAACAAUUGGGACAAUCUUUUUAGAAAUGAAAGUUUCUGUAUACUGUGGAAAGAUUUGUGUCUGUAUUUCACGUUAUGCUUCUAGUUUUUAUUUUUUAUUUUUCCUUUUCUUUUCAUGUGUUUGAAUGGAAGGAUGACUACUAAAAUGGGGAUAUGAAUUAACCUGAAAUCAUCAGGAAAUUGAAACCCUAGUUUCCUCUUUUCUCCAUUGUUUCUUUUGGAUUCCAAUUUUACAAGGAUUCCAUGUUUUGUCACCUCAUGUUAUCUUCUUUGCCUUAGAAGUCAUCAACGUCUCUUUUUUGGGAGAGAUGAAUCUGCAAAGUUUUUCAAGGAAAAUCUGAGAAAUGGAAAUCAGUUUGCAAAACUAUC
Long non-coding RNA from Magnolia sinica, 1018 nucleotides. RefSeq lists it as uncharacterized. The record is from RefSeq and is a predicted model, not a curated record. The transcript is spliced from 3 exons. Lineage: Eukaryota; Viridiplantae; Streptophyta; Magnoliopsida; Magnoliales; Magnoliaceae.